Molecule: non-coding RNA, 46 nt
Filed under: Schistosoma mattheei
Lineage: Eukaryota; Metazoa; Platyhelminthes; Trematoda; Strigeidida; Schistosomatidae
Source: RNAcentral
GAGCUACUGAAGAGUCCCACAAUAGGACGAAACGGUCGUUCAGUGC